UGGUCAUGACAUUUUGUCAGCCGGUGAUUGUCAAGCAAAUAACUGCCUGUCUUGCGGUAAUUGAAUUGUUAAUUAACCUAAACACGUUUAGCAUCUCCUGGCUUCCACAUUCUAAAACAUCUAAUAAAUCCAUUUAAUAUAGCCUACACAAUCACAAUAAAUCCAUCAUUUAUCUUAGACAGGUCUAAAAGAAACACGACGUGAAGAAAAUGUAUAUUUCAGAAGAACAGAAAAGCAUACUCUUGAGUUGUUCUUAUGUUAGGCCCUGAUCUGGCUAUGCCAUAUGGCUGUGGGCUACACUAGUUCAUUUAGAAGACACGAUUUUCUUAGAAUUCCAUGCCAUUUUUUUUUUUUUUGCGCUCUAUCAACUACUUGUGGCGGGCCCAGCCGCCUGCAGGCUGACUCUGGUCGUCAGUUGAACAGUGUUUCCUCCGACACAUUGGUGCGGCUGGCUUCCGGGUUAAGCGAGUGGGUGUUAAAGAGCGCGGUUUGGCGAGUCAUGUUUCGGAGGACGCAUGACCCUACCUUCGAAUCUCCCGAGCCCGUUGGAGAGUCGCAGCGAUGAGACAAGAUUGUAAUUGGGAAGAAAAAGCCUCAGUGCCAAUAUCUUCACGAGGUGAUUGAAAAUAGAAAACCACCAAAGCGCAAGACAUUCUGACAUGAAGGUAACAUAUGGGUGAGUUACUGGACCAAUACUAUCAAAUCAUCUAAAAGCCAGAGGUUCAACUUUACAUACUUAAUUUCAUAUUUAACAAUUUGCCAAAUGCAUUGUAUUGAUUUCAACUCUAAAAGAGAUGAAUAAAUAUUCAAAUAUUAAAAAGACCACUACUUACAGCCGCUCUCCUUGUCCCUCAUCUCACCAGGCGCUCCAAAACAUAUCUCCCGUUUACUACGACCACUACGCUUGCUGCUUGCCUGCCUGCCUGCCAGCCAGCACUACUGAUUAGCCACUGAACAAACACAGGUGUGCAUCGCAUG
This is a long non-coding RNA of Oncorhynchus nerka (sockeye salmon), 978 nucleotides long. RefSeq lists it as uncharacterized. The record is from RefSeq and is a predicted model, not a curated record. Lineage: Eukaryota; Metazoa; Chordata; Actinopteri; Salmoniformes; Salmonidae. The transcript is spliced from 2 exons.